Brachypodium distachyon (stiff brome) is the source of this 930-nucleotide long non-coding RNA. RefSeq lists it as uncharacterized. The transcript has 2 exons. The record is from RefSeq and is a predicted model, not a curated record. Lineage: Eukaryota; Viridiplantae; Streptophyta; Magnoliopsida; Poales; Poaceae.
CCGUGCGCCGUCGCCCCGUCGCCGCCCUGCGCAGCCCCGUGACCGCCCCGCCCUCGGCCGCCACCGCUUUGCUCGCGUUGCGCCCUCGUCCUCGUCGCCCGCCUCCGCCGCUGCGCCGCUCCCCUCCGCCUCUCCUUCUCUGCGCCGGCCUUUGCUGGCCACUUCACCGCCGGCAUCUCCUCGGUCGUGGCCUCGUCGCCCCUUUGCUGGCCGUGCUCUGGCCCGCCGUGGCAACCUGCGUCAGCCGCCGGUGGUGAGAUGCCCCCCCCUCCUCCAGAAGCUCCUUGGGGAAGAAGAUGAGUGAGAUGGGGAAUUUUUUGACCCACUCACAAGGAGGGGUCCCACUGAUAGCGGCGUCCUCCCUCCGACGACCUCGCGCGCCCUUCCCUCCCCGGCGGCCUGCUCCGGUGCUCCGUCAGUCCGAUUCGCCAUGGCGGCAAAUCGUCCCUACCUGUGUCCAGCGCCUGCGCUAAGCACAAGCACAAGCACAGCCACGGCCGCAGCCGAGCCCCUGGCUUACCUGCCGACGAGGGAAUUCAUUCACCGGAUCUGCUGUCAGUGCUGUGUGUUAAUCGCAUGGAUGGGCUGAGCUGUUGCUGCUGCUAGCGUCGUCUCGAUUCCUUUGAUUUGGCAGAGAACGAGGCCGCCGCAGAGCCAGCGCCGGGGAGCCAUUUUCAGACCUCCGCGUUCCAGCAAGCAGCCCGACCACCCCACUAGCCUCCUCCUUCUUUUUGGGUAUCAAUUUCACAGUUUUUGUUUCUUUUAUCAGAUUCAGUUUUUCACAUGUCAUUUUUCCUGUCAAGCGGUGUGCUACUUAGCUUCAGAUAUGGGUCUCCGUAUGAUCGAAUUAAAGCGGGCAUGCGCAUAGGAUCAAAUCUGUCCCAAAUAAAACUAAUUUUGUGUUAUGUGAUAUAUAUAAUUGCUCAUGUA